GUAGUCUCGCACAGAUGCAUAUCAAUAAGCGGAGGAAAAGAAACUAACAAGGAUUCCCUUAGUAACGGCGAGUGAGCGGGAAGAGCUCAAAUUUGAAAUCUUCAAGGUUUUACCUUGACGAAUUGUAGUUUAAAGAAGUGUUUUCUGUUGAAGUUUUGGUAAAAGUUCUUUGGAAUAGGACAUCAUAGAGGGUGAGAAUCCCGUAUUUGACCAUUAUUUUCAGCUGUGUGAUACACUUUCAAAGAGUCGGAUUGUUUGGGAAUGCAGUCCAAAAUGGGUGGUAAAUUUCAUCUAAAGCUAAAUAUUGGCGAGAGACCGAUAGCGAACAAGUACCGUGAGGGAAAGAUGAAAAGAACUUUGAAAAGAGAGUUAAACAGUACGUGAAAUUGUCAAAAGGGAAGCGUUUGACACCAGUGUUGUUUUCUCGAAAAUCAAUUAAAAAGAGUUAGAUUUUGUUGUGUAUUGACCUUAACAGCUUGCAUUUCAAUUUUCUUGCUUUUUUUAAUGCACUUUUCGUUUAACAAGUCAACAUCAGUUUCUUUUGUUGUAAAAAGGUCAUUGGAAGGUGGCUUUCUUUUCGGAGAAAGUGUUUAUAGCCUUUGACUCCUGCAAUCGGAGAGACUGAGGUCUGCAGCGUAGAUCCUUCGGGGUUAGAUACAUUUGUGCUAAGUUAUAGCUUUUUAUAGACAACUUAGUUGACUAUGAUUAGUCUUGUAGCUUACUCGCUUAUGCUAUUUUACCUACGCUUAGGAUGUUGAGCGCAUGUCUCUCUCU
Molecule: ribosomal RNA, 774 nt
Filed under: uncultured Neocallimastigales
Lineage: Eukaryota; Fungi; Neocallimastigomycota; Neocallimastigomycetes; Neocallimastigales
Description: partial large subunit ribosomal RNA
Rfam family: Eukaryotic large subunit ribosomal RNA
Source: RNAcentral